UGGGGAAUAUUGCGCAAUGGGGGCAACCCUGACGCAGCAAUGCCGCGUGAAGGAUGAAGGUUUUCGGAUUGUAAACUUCUUUUAUCAAGGACGAAGGAGUGACGGUACUUGAUGAAUAAGCCACGGCUAACUACGUGCCAGCAGCCGCGGUAAUACGUAGGUGGCAAGCGUUGUCCGGAUUUACUGGGUGUAAAGGGCGAGUAGGCGGGAUUGCAAGUCAGAUGUGAAAUGCCGGGGCUUAACCCCGGAGCUGCAUUUGAAACUGUAGUUCUUGAGUAUCGGAGAGGCAGGCGGAAUUCCCGGUGUAGCGGUGGAAUGCGUAGAUAUCGGGAGGAACACCAGUGGCGAAGGCGGCCUGCUGGACGACAACUGACGCUGAGGAGCGAAAGCGUGGGGAGCAAACAGGAUUAGAUACC
Molecule: ribosomal RNA, 416 nt
Filed under: uncultured bacterium
Lineage: Bacteria
Description: bacterial SSU rRNA
Rfam family: Bacterial small subunit ribosomal RNA
Source: RNAcentral